This 505-nucleotide ribosomal RNA is filed under the name uncultured bacterium. RNAcentral's name for it is "bacterial SSU rRNA". It matches the Rfam family "Bacterial small subunit ribosomal RNA", at positions 28 to 521 of the family's 1533-position model. The record is from RNAcentral.
GAUGAACGCUAGCUACAGGCUUAACACAUGCAAGUCGAGGGGCAGCAUGAACUUAGCUUGCUAAGUUUGAUGGCGACCGGCGCACGGGUGAGUAACGCGUAUCCAACCUGCCCUUUACGCGGGGAUAGCCUUCUGAAAGGAAGUUUAAUACCCGAUGAAUUCGUUUAGUCGCAUGGCUUGAUGAACAAAGAUUUAUCAGUAAAGGAUGGGGAUGCGUCCCAUUAGCUGGUUGGUGGGGUAACGGCCCACCAAGGCGACGAUGGGUAGGGGUUCUGAGAGGAAGGUCCCCCACAUUGGAACUGAGACACGGUCCAAACUCCUACGGGAGGCAGCAGUGAGGAGUAUUGGUCAAUGGGCGAGAGCCUGAACCAGCCAAGUAGCGUGAAGGAUGAAAGGUCCUACGGAUUGUAAACUUCUUUUGUACGAGGGUAAAUUCAGAUACGUGUAUCUGUUUGAAAGUAUCGUACGAAUAAGGAUCGGCUAACUCCGUGCCAGCAGCCGCGGU